CAAACUUGAGAGUUUGAUCCUGGCUCAGAACGAACGCUGGCGGCAUGCCUAACACAUGCAAGUCGAACGAGACCUUCGGGUCUAGUGGCGCACGGGUGCGUAACGCGUGGGAAUCUGCCCUUGGGUUCGGAAUAACUUCGGGAAACUGAAGCUAAUACCGGAUGAUGUCGCAAGACCAAAGAUUUAUCGCCUGAGGAUGAGCCCGCGUGAGAUUAGGUAGUUGGUGGGGUAAAGGCCUACCAAGCCGACGAUCUCUAGCUGGUCUGAGAGGAUGAUCAGCCACACUGGGACUGAGACACGGCCCAGACUCCUACGGGAGGCAGCAGUGGGGAAUAUUGGACAAUGGGCGAAAGCCUGAUCCAGCAAUGCCGCGUGAGUGAUGAAGGCCUUAGGGUUGUAAAGCUCUUUUACCCGGGAUGAUAAUGACAGUACCGGGAGAAUAAGCCCCGGCUAACUCCGUGCCAGCAGCC
RNAcentral lists this ribosomal RNA (470 nucleotides) under Sphingomonas sp. ID1715. RNAcentral's name for it is "bacterial SSU rRNA". It matches the Rfam family "Bacterial small subunit ribosomal RNA", at positions 1 to 516 of the family's 1533-position model. Lineage: Bacteria; Pseudomonadati; Pseudomonadota; Alphaproteobacteria; Sphingomonadales; Sphingomonadaceae. The record is from RNAcentral.